This 316-nucleotide unclassified non-coding RNA is filed under the name plant metagenome. RNAcentral describes it as "partial contains 5.8S ribosomal RNA, internal transcribed spacer 2, and large subunit ribosomal RNA". The stretch from base 1 to 105 matches the Rfam family "5.8S ribosomal RNA", at positions 50 to 154 of the family's 154-position model. The record is from RNAcentral.
GAAAUGCGAUAACUAGUGCGAAUUGCAGAAUUCCGUGAAUCAUCGAGUCUUUGAACGCACAUUGCGCCCCCUGGUAUUCCGGGGGGCAUGCCUGUCCGAGCGUCAUUGCUGCCCAUCAAGCACGGCUUGUGUGUUGGGUCGUCGUCCCCUCUCCGGGGGGGACGGGCCCCAAAGGCAGCGGCGGCACCGCGUCCGAUCCUCGAGCGUAUGGGGCUUUGUCACCCGCUCUGUAGGCCCGGCCGGCGCUUGCCGAACGCAAAUCAAUCUUUUUCCAGGUUGACCUCGGAUCAGGUAGGGAUACCCGCUGAACUUAAGC